This 86-nucleotide non-coding RNA is filed under the name Sporomusa malonica. RNAcentral describes it as "c-di-GMP sequence". It matches the Rfam family "c-di-GMP-I riboswitch aptamer". Rfam says of the family: GEMM was predicted in a large-scale screen for bacterial structured RNA regulatory elements. Genes associated with GEMM are involved in a diverse array of functions, including chemotaxis regulation, signal transduction, secretion and chitin. The record is from Rfam by way of RNAcentral. Lineage: Bacteria; Bacillati; Bacillota; Negativicutes; Selenomonadales; Sporomusaceae.
UUUUAGAAUCGGCAAACUUAUCGAAAGGUAAGGACGCAAAGCUAUGGGUCUAAGGGCAAAAAGCCUAUGAUUGCCAGGUUGCCGUU